UUGGGAAUCUUCGGCAAUGGACGAAAGUCUGACCGAGCAACGCCGCGUGAGUGAAGAAGGUUUUCGGAUCGUAAAACUCUGUUGUUAGAGAAGAACAAGGACGUUAGUAACUGAACGUCCCCUGACGGUAUCUAACCAGAAAGCCACGGCUAACUACGUGCCAGCAGCCGCGGUAAUACGUAGGUGGCAAGCGUUGUCCGGAUUUAUUGGGCGUAAAGCGAGCGCAGGCGGUUUCUUAAGUCUGAUGUGAAAGCCCCCGGCUCAACCGGGGAGGGUCAUUGGAAACUGGGAGACUUGAGUGCAGAAGAGGAGAGUGGAAUUCCAUGCGUAGCGGUGAAAUGCGUAGAUAUAUGGAGGAACACCAGUGGCGAAGGCGGCUCUCUGGUCUGUAACUGACGCUGAGGCUCAAAAGCGUGGGGAGCAAACAGG
This 429-nucleotide ribosomal RNA is filed under the name Gemmatimonadota bacterium. RNAcentral's name for it is "Gemmatimonadetes bacterium partial 16S ribosomal RNA". It matches the Rfam family "Bacterial small subunit ribosomal RNA", at positions 355 to 776 of the family's 1533-position model. The record is from RNAcentral. Lineage: Bacteria; Pseudomonadati; Gemmatimonadota.